Nerophis ophidion (straightnose pipefish) is the source of this 2587-nucleotide long non-coding RNA. RefSeq lists it as uncharacterized. The record is from RefSeq and is a predicted model, not a curated record. NCBI's taxonomy places the organism in Eukaryota, Metazoa, Chordata, Actinopteri, Syngnathiformes, Syngnathidae. The transcript is spliced from 3 exons.
UGUGGUUACAGAUGUAGCUUAUCACCACCAGGUGUGAAUGAAUGAUGGGUUCCCACUUCUCUGUGAGCGCUUUGAGUAUCUAAUAAUUGAAAAAGUGCAAUAUAAAUCUAAUCCAUUAUUAUUAUUAUUAUUAUUAAAGACUUCAAAGAAGACAGUUUCCUGCAAAAUGUGCAGCAUGGACCUCGCGAGGCAUUGAAGGACAACAUUGCUUCGAGAGAACCUGAAGAGGAGACAUGUUGGAGCCAUGGAUGAAGGAAACAACUCACAAGAUGCUGAUCUCAGAGGGUGUUAGGGUCAUGGAAGGACACUGCAGGGGGCCUUCACCCAUAGGGAUCCAAGAGCGUGCCAACAGCCCCUGGGCACACUCCUUCUGGAUGGUACACCUGGUGAAACAACCAUCUUCAAGCCACUUUCUGACCGUCUCUACAGGAUGCGCCGUUUUGUUGGCAGUCUUAUUUAUGGGCCGAAGCCCUUCUCACGGCCAAGCCCCCUUGGACUGCGUCUUCACCCUAUCAACCAUCUACUGAAAAGAUAUGAGUUCAAACUAUGCACUACUUUUUACUAGAAAUGGCAAAAGCAGACGAUUUUACAAUGCGUGUGCAUGUGAUGUAAAUGUGAUGACAAUUUGAUUCUCAUUGCAGCACAUGGGUCACGAUGCGAUAGAUAGAUAGAUAGAUAGAUAGAUAGAUAGAUAGAUAGAUAGAUAGAUAGAUAGAUAGAUAGAUAGAUAGAUAGAUAGAUAGAUAGAUAGAUAGAUAGAUAGAUAGAUAGAUAGAUAGAUAGAUAGAUAGAUGGAUAAUACUUUGUUGAUUCCUUCAGUAGAGUUCCUUCAGGAAAAUUAUAUAAAAAUAAUUAAUUUAUAAAACAGAACGAUUUGAUGCGAUUAUAUUUGGUGUAUGAACGAUUCCAUACGAUUCAAUUUAGUGUACGAAAAAUUUAUGAAGAUUGGAUACGGUGUAGGGCUGCGAAUCUUUGGGUGUCCCACGAUUCGAUUCAAUAUCAAUUCUUGGGGUCACGAUUUGAUUCAAAACGAUUUUUUUUUUCAAUUUAACACGAUUCCCGAUUCAAAAACAAUUUUUUUCCCGGUUUAAAAGGAUUCUCUAUACAUUCAAUGAAUAAAUAGAGAAGAUGUUUUAUAAAGUAAAAAGGAUUUCAGCAGGAUCUACCCCAGUCUGCUGACAUGCAAGCAUAGUAGUACAUUUUUGUAAAAAGCUUUUAUAAUUGUAAAGGACAAUGUUUUAUCAACUGAUUCCAAUAAUGUAAAUGUGUUUUAACUAUUAAACUAACCAAAAAUAUAACUUAUUUUAUCUUUGUGAAAAUAUUGGACACAGUGUGUUGUCAAGCUUAUGAGAUGAGAUGCAAGUGUAAGCCACUGUCACACUAUUGUUCUUUUUUUAUAUUUUUAUAAAUGUCUAAUGAUAAUGUCAAUGAGGGAUUUUUAAUCACUGCUAUGCUUAAAUUAUAAGUAAUAUUUAUACUGUUGUUGAUAAUAUUCAUUUUUGUUUCACUACUUUUGGUUUGUUCUGUGUCGUGUUUGUGUCUUUUCUCUUGCUCUGUUUAUUGCAGUUCUGAGUGUUGCUGGGUCAGGUUUGGUUUUGGAAUUGGAUUGCGUUGUUAUGGUAUUACUGUGUAUUGUUUAGUUGGAUUGAUAAAACAAUAAAAUAUAUAAAAAAUAUUAAAAAAAACGAUUAAAAAAAAAAUUAGAAUCGAUUCUAAAUCGCACAACGUGAGAAUCGUGAUUCAAAUUCGAAUCGAUUUUUUCCCACACCCCAAAUACGGUGUAUGAAUGAUUACAUUUCGUGGUAACACAUUCUUUCUUAAGUCACAACAUAACAAAAGCAUGUGUUCCUGUGCAUACACCCCUCCUAAUGUUAGAAGAUAAAUAGUUGGGACCUUGGCACCAAGCACUCACAGUGGAGCUGACCAAGCCAAGUCUCUGAGCAUGUACUGAUGAAAACUACUUGGAUGAGAGGCCAAACGUCUUCUAAGACAACUGAUCAGUUGAAUGCCUUGAGAAUAACAAUAACCUAUUGAAUGACAACACACAUGGGCACAUUCAUCUUUGAAUAAAAAAAGGACAUUCUAUAAGAGUGACAUGCUUAAAGUAUUUCAUUUUUUUUAAAACAACAUAUAUCCCGAAAGAUGUCUAUGGAUAUUCUCAACCAUCCCGUAAUGUCACUGUAAUGUCAGGGUAUUCAAUCAAUCACAACUGGACCAGGCUAGAUCUGACCAAUCUAAGUCUAAGACUAGAACUGACCAAUCUAAGUCUAGAUCUGACCAAUUUAAGUCUGUGGGUAUAAAGUGAUGAGGCCUACUAGGAUGAGAGACAAAACAUAUUCUAAGGCAAAAAAGACAGUCCAGUUGUGAUCGUUUGAAUGCCCUGAGAUCCCCAAAGAUGUUUUACAAAGUAAAAAGGCAAACAUCAAAUAAAGAUAUUUUUUUCACGAUUCAAGUCAAGUCAGUGUGGCUUGACGUGGGGCGGAACUUCUCGGACAAGAAUGGGUGACGUGUUUUGUGGAAUUGAAAAGGUCAGCAAGACAAGAAAUAGAGUUUGUUGUAUGAAAACAUUGCAUUUUGUGAAAUAAAG